RNAcentral lists this long non-coding RNA (396 nucleotides) under Bos taurus (domestic cattle). Its description in RNAcentral is "long non-coding RNA NONBTAT006297". The record is from RNAcentral. Lineage: Eukaryota; Metazoa; Chordata; Mammalia; Artiodactyla; Bovidae.
CAAAUGCAUACACUGAACUCCAAAGCUUUCAUUUUAUGAAAAAAAGUAUGUAUGUUACUCACCUCUGUUGGCCCUCAAUCCCCUCAGCUUUAGCAAAAAGUAAAGAGUCAGUUAAUUAAUUCUUUAAUGGAAAAUUAAUUCUCAUUCUGAUACGAAAAAGAAAAGGAAAAUGAUAUUCUGGUAUUUCAAGGACAAGACAGAACCAGAUAUACUGGCCACUAGUCAUUCCCUGAAGACACCAUUGCUGUAGACUUUGAACUCUGAAAUGCCCUUUCAUCUUUGCUCUUCCCUAUUUAACAUAUUCAUGUAUUCCUCCAGUAAUUAUUUGCACCGUAUCAGAUAAAUUUGGAGUUUUUAAUGAUCUCAACAAGCAGAGUAUUUCUCAUGGUGUUAAUU